Aspergillus oryzae is the source of this 74-nucleotide transfer RNA. It matches the Rfam family "tRNA". From Rfam's summary of the family: Transfer RNA (tRNA) molecules are approximately 80 nucleotides in length. Their secondary structure includes four short double-helical elements and three loops (D, anti-codon, and T loops). Further hydrogen bonds mediate the characteristic L-shaped molecular structure. tRNAs have two regions of fundamental functional importance: the anti-codon, which is responsible for specific mRNA codon recognition, and the 3' end, to which the tRNAs corresponding amino acid is attached (by aminoacyl-tRNA synthetases). tRNAs cope with the degeneracy of the genetic code in two manners: having more than one tRNA (with a specific anti-codon) for a particular amino acid; and 'wobble' base-pairing, i.e. permitting non-standard base-pairing at the 3rd anti-codon position. Lineage: Eukaryota; Fungi; Ascomycota; Eurotiomycetes; Eurotiales; Aspergillaceae. The record is from Rfam.
GUCUGGGUGGCGCAAUUGGUUAGCGCGUCUGACUGUUAAUCAGGAGGUUAUGAGUUCGAUCCUCAUCCUGGACG